AACGUAGGAGGCGAGCGUUAUCCGGAUUUACUGGGUGUAAAGCGCGUGCAGGCGGACGAGUAAGUUGGAUGUGAAAGCUCCCGGCUUAACUGGGAGAGGUCGUUCAAAACUGCUGGUCUUGAGCGUGGUAGGGGAAGGCGGAAUUCCGGGUGUAGUGGUGAAAUGCGUAGAUAUCCGGAGGAACACCAGUGGCGAAAGCGGCCUUCUGGACCACGACUGACGCUCAGACGCGAAAGCUAGGGGAGCAAACGGG
Molecule: ribosomal RNA, 253 nt
Filed under: uncultured bacterium
Lineage: Bacteria
Description: partial 16S ribosomal RNA
Rfam family: Bacterial small subunit ribosomal RNA
Source: RNAcentral